GAUGAACGCUGGCGGCGCGCCUAACACAUGCAAGUCGAACGGUUAAAGCACCUUUUAGGUGUGUAUAAAGUGGCGAACGGCUGAGUAACACGUGGGCAACCUGCCCUCCUCUUGGGGAUAGCCUCGGGAAACCGAGGAUAAUACCCGAUACUUCAAUGUGGCCGCAUGACGACAUUGAGAAAGCUUUUGCGGAGAAGGAUGGGCCCGCGGCCUGUUAGCUUGUUGGUGGGGUAGAGGCCUACCAAGGCAA
This 250-nucleotide ribosomal RNA is filed under the name uncultured bacterium. RNAcentral's name for it is "partial 16S ribosomal RNA". It matches the Rfam family "Bacterial small subunit ribosomal RNA", at positions 28 to 276 of the family's 1533-position model. The record is from RNAcentral.